This 1945-nucleotide long non-coding RNA is filed under the name Homo sapiens (human). RNAcentral's name for it is "HSALNT0305204". The record is from RNAcentral. Lineage: Eukaryota; Metazoa; Chordata; Mammalia; Primates; Hominidae.
CCGUGAUUUAUUACUUGCCCUGCUGCUUCUGACAAACUAUUUGUAGGAAAAUGAGAUUUGGUCCGCGCUGGAUGGCUCCUCUGGGAGGCAGGCGUGGGGGUCGGGUGUCGGAGGCCCCGUGCGCCCCCCCACCCCCCACCAGAGCCCACGGCGCUCACGGAGCUCUUUAAGAUAAAUGAGCAAAAUUAAGAGACUCACUGGGGGAAGAAAACACUGGAUGGGAGCGAGCGAGAGCGGAUGGUACUUGGUUUCCUCCCAGAAAUGCAUCCACGUGCGCCCCACUGGGGCCUCCCCCAUCUGCUGCAGACUCCAGGGAACUUCCUCCCCUCAAAGACGAACUUCCAGCCCUGGAGCAUGUUUCUUCCUUUCCUGGGAUGUGGCGCUGAAAAGGGCAGAAACCUCUAGUAAGGCACAAGCAACAGAUUGGGGGUGGAGCAGCAGGUCUCUUUGGAGGUGGCCUGGAAGAAACCGGACAGAGAGGAUGGGAAGGGGAGAAACAGAAGAGUGUGACGAGAUCAUGAAGGAAAGAGGAGGCGUCUACUGAAUGUAAGGUAGAGCCAAAGGCAUCUAUUGAUGACUGAAGAAGAGGCAUGAAUAUGACAAAAACAGGAAGCUGGGAAAACGGCAAUGGAUUAAUAACAAGAAAUUAAUGGUGAAGUGGUGACGAAAAUUCUACAUUGCUUAGAAAGCAAAUAGUGAAAUGAACAUUUACAUUCUGGCAACCUCAGAAGUACAACGAACAGAGGACACCAGCCAGGUAGGGCAAAGGCCUGUGCGCCCCCUUUUGCUGUUACAUGUUUAUCAGAUGCGUGCUCUGUUUCUGUUGUAUUACAUUACUUUUCUCUUCAAUGUCUACUGAGGAAGAACAAGUAGCUCCUCAGGCAAGUCAACUGUUAACUCUGCAGUUUUUAUUUAAUCUCCCAGGAAUGUAACCCUUAACUUUAAAGAAUGUAGUGACCAUAAAACUUAUAAGGCAUGUUUCUUAAGGAAAUUGUACCUGUUUAUUUAAUCUAUCAGAUAUGAAUGUUAUAGAAAAUUAAAUUUGUCCACUUAAGCUGUAGAUGAACUUUUCACCUUUCUGAUCAGAAAUUCACCAUUUUAUAGUAUAGGUUCUGUUAUUAAUCAGAAUAUUUCAUUUAGACUCUUUCUAUCCAACUUUUUCUUAGAGGCUAUUCAAAAUAAAGGUGCUUCUAACAGUUUCAUAUCGAAAUACGAUGCAAAGCCUUGCUCUUCCAUGGUAUCCUUUGAGUGAGCCAAACUUAUUUAGCCAUUCCCCUAUAGUUAAAUAGCUAGGAUGUUUCCAACAUCUCACCUUUAAAACAAUAGUGCUAUGAAUGUCAUAAAUGUUUGUAUAUGUAAAUAUGUAGGAUAAAUCCCUAUCAGUAGAAUUUCAAAAGGUAUACGCAAUCAGUAUUUUCAUACAUAUUUAAAAUUUUCCAUCCAUACAAAGGUUGCUAACAUAUUUAUUUAAAAUUUUAAAAAUAAUUUUAUAUGCCUCUUGUAACCAGUAAUAGGAUGCAAAGUUUUUGUUUUAAGGUAACAUUGCUCCUCUUCCCCCAUUGUCUCUGUCAUCUAUAGUACUCCCUAAGGUAGUUCAUGUUAUUGCAAGGGUGUGUAUCAUCCCAAACAUAUUGCUUCCACAUACAUAUAUCAGCAUACAUAUAUAUAUAUGUAUAGCAUAUAUAUAUAUGAGCACAUAUUAAUAUAUGCCCAUGCACAUACAAGCAUGUUUUUGUUAAUUUUUACUGAAAUGGAAUCAUGCUACAUACUUAUGAACAAAUUGCUUCUUUCACCUUAUAUCACUUAUAAUUGUUAUUCUACAAAUCAGUACAUAUAAAAAAUACAUAUUUACAUAUGUAAUACUCUAUCUGUUAUAAUUUUCUGCAUGCACAUGUAUGCAUAUACAUAUAUUCAUAAACAUAAAAAUCUAAACGGGAUUUUUUUG